This is a long non-coding RNA of Mustela erminea (ermine), 789 nucleotides long. RefSeq lists it as uncharacterized. The record is from RefSeq and is a predicted model, not a curated record. NCBI's taxonomy places the organism in Eukaryota, Metazoa, Chordata, Mammalia, Carnivora, Mustelidae. The transcript has 3 exons.
GCCGAGGCGAGGCCCCCGGUGCGUCCCGGCACCGUGGGCUCCGUGACCUCGCUCCUUCGCCGGCCCCACCGCGGAUCCAGCCGAGCCGAGCCGAGCCGAGCCGGGCUCCUCGUCCCAAAGUGGCUGCGGAGGCGCAGCCGAGGCUCCUCCGCGGCCUCAGCCCUCCAGACGGGACGGAAUCGCCCCUCCGGUGUCCUGGGGCAGCCGGCAGGAGACGCGGGACACCCGGACGCUCGACCUUGGCAACCCGGGAACCUGCUCCCCAACACAAAGCCGCGGCCCCGCAGAGCCCACCGACCAGCCUGGCCCCAAACUGAUCUCUUCUGGGCUGCAGGAUACCCACAGAACCGCGCCUCAUGCAAGAGACAGGCAAUAUGGGACACAAAGGAAGAAGAGGAAAAACCACCAGAAGGAAGCAUUCAGCAAAGUCCAAAUACAGGACAUUCUAUGGGUCAGCUGACCCAACAACUUCUCCAAACUUCAGUGCAUGAAGAAAAGAAGGCAGACCAUUAUAGAUGACAAGAGGCAUAACCAAAUGCCAUGUGGGAUCCUGGACUGGAUCCUGGGACCAAAAAAGGACACUGUUGGAAAAACGGAUGAAAUCGCAAUAAACUGAAGUUUAGUUAAUCGUCACAUUAUCGAUGUUAAUUCCUUACUUUUGAAAUGUGCCAUGGUUGUGUAACAUGUUGACAUUGAAGAAAACUGGACUAAAGUAUAGGGAGGGGAACUCUGCACUGGCUUUGUAACUUUUCUUUGAAUCUGAAUUUGCUCCAAAGUUAAAAGGUUGGU